RNAcentral lists this small RNA (68 nucleotides) under Virgibacillus necropolis. RNAcentral's name for it is "Bacillaceae-1 RNA". It matches the Rfam family "Bacillaceae-1 RNA". The record is from Rfam by way of RNAcentral. Lineage: Bacteria; Bacillati; Bacillota; Bacilli; Caryophanales; Bacillaceae.
UUAGAAACAAGGUCGGCAAAGAACUCAGGCGUCCUGCCUGAAAAGUCGACAUUAGUACGGCCUGUGCG